Molecule: microRNA, 21 nt
Filed under: Drosophila melanogaster (fruit fly)
Lineage: Eukaryota; Metazoa; Arthropoda; Insecta; Diptera; Drosophilidae
Description: microRNA miR-bantam
Source: RNAcentral
GUGAGAUCAUUUUGAAAGCUG